AGACGUUGGAAAUUUAUUUUCAGUGUCGCAGGGAAACCGAUAAACACACCGCCUGGGGAGUACGACCGCAAGGUUAAAACUCAAAUGAAUUGACGGGGACCCGCACAAGUAGUGGAGCAUGUGGUUUAAUUCGAAGAUACGCGCAGAACCUUACCAACACUUGACAUGUUCGUCGUGACUCUAAGAGAUUAGAGUUUUCGGUUCGGCCGGACGAAACACAGGUGCUGCAUGGCUGUCGUCAGCUCGUGUCGUGAGAUGUUGGGUUAAGUCCCGCAACGAGCGCAACCCUCACUUUUAGUUGCCAUCAUUAAGUUGGGCACUCUGAAAGAACUGCCAGUGAUAAGCUGGAGGAAGGUGGGGAUGACGUCAAGUCCUCAUGGCCCUUACGUGUUGGGCUACACACGUGCUACAAUGGCAUCUACAACAGGAAGCAAAACGGCAACGUUAAGCAAAUCCCGAAAAGAUGCCUCAGUUCGGAUUGCACUCUGCAACUCGAGUGCAUGAAGCUGGAAUUACUAGUAAUCGUGGAUCAGCGUGCCACGGUGAAUGCGUUCCCGGGUCUUGUACACACCGCCCGUCACACCAUGGGAGUUGGUUCUACCUUAAGGCAAGGUUUUAAACCCUUGACCACGGUAUAGUCAGCGACUGGGGUG
RNAcentral lists this ribosomal RNA (653 nucleotides) under uncultured marine bacterium. RNAcentral's name for it is "bacterial SSU rRNA". It matches the Rfam family "Bacterial small subunit ribosomal RNA", at positions 818 to 1482 of the family's 1533-position model. The record is from RNAcentral.